Molecule: long non-coding RNA, 1087 nt
Organism: Orcinus orca (killer whale)
Lineage: Eukaryota; Metazoa; Chordata; Mammalia; Artiodactyla; Delphinidae
Exons: 3
Source: RefSeq, a predicted model, not a curated record
UUUUAAUUACAUCUGCGAAGAACCUAUUUCCAAAUUAGGUCGUCUUCACAGGUUUUGGGGGUUAGGACAGGGACAUAUCCUUUUAGAGGCACUGUUCAACCCACUCCAUGGGAGAUGCAGGUAAAUAUGCUGAAAGGACUCAGGAAGCUGUCUGAAAAUAACAACCAGGAUAUGAAUAGUAGUUAUAUCAGCCUACAGCCCAGUGCCAGGCACAUUGUGGGUGCUCAAAAGAAUGUCUACAUUUAUUUCCAUAUAUAAAAUGUUCUGGCUCAGAGAAAACAUUUGGGCGCUCCGGUUUUGCCCAGUUUAGAAGUUUUAGCAAACGCCAGUGGGUUUGACUGCAGCUGGGACCCCUUCUCUCGGGACUUUGUUGAAACCACCUUUAGUCUCAUUCUCCGCUUGGGAAACAACCACUAUUCCAGCUUCAGGUCUGUGCAAGUCCCUCCUGUGACACUUUGCCUGCAAAUGGGCCUUUGUUUGCCCAACCUCGGGCCUCCGCGUCUCCCUGCCUAGACACCAUGCCCCGGCCCUCACCCUCCCGGCUGUUGAGAUGUGUUUUGUGAAAGCGCUGGCUCUGUCCACCCCCAGCUCCAAGAGGACUUGGCCAAGUCUGGCCUGUUCACUGCCCCGUCCUCUUGCCUAGAAAAGAGCCAGACACUGGCCCCUACCCACCUUCUUACGCAUUAUGUAUGGCCCCCUUUCAGUUCCCAGAAUUCCAAUCCUGUUCUCACCUCAGGGCCUUUGCCGGGCUGUUCCCUCUGCCUGGAAUGCCCUUCUUAUCAUCAGAUCUCAGCAAAAUGUCACAGGUCUGCCCUGCCCUCCCAGGCCCGGGGAGCCUUUCCCAGCCUGCUUGCAUUCUCUGUCCUCCACACAGCUGGACGGUCCUGCCUCCUUAUUUGUUUGCUGCCCUGUGCCAGAUCCCAGUCCCCUUGAGAGCAAGGACGUGGACCAGCUCAUGGCUGCAGCCCCAGCGCCUGGCAAAUCACAGGUGCUCAGAGAAGAAGGGGAAGAAACGGAGGGACAGAGAGGAUGAGGAAACUGAAUCCCAUUAAGGAACUUGCUCAGGAUCCGCUGCUGGGAGGUGGUG